This is a non-coding RNA of Massospora cicadina, 77 nucleotides long. The record is from the annotation of a GenBank genome assembly. NCBI's taxonomy places the organism in Eukaryota, Fungi, Entomophthoromycota, Entomophthoromycetes, Entomophthorales, Entomophthoraceae.
GACUAAAAAAAAUAGCUCAGUUGGUUAGAGUGUGGUGCUAAUAACGCCAGUCACAGGUUCGACCCCUGUAGUGAGCA